RNAcentral lists this transfer RNA (99 nucleotides) under Cyphomyrmex costatus. It matches the Rfam family "tRNA". From Rfam's summary of the family: Transfer RNA (tRNA) molecules are approximately 80 nucleotides in length. Their secondary structure includes four short double-helical elements and three loops (D, anti-codon, and T loops). Lineage: Eukaryota; Metazoa; Arthropoda; Insecta; Hymenoptera; Formicidae. The record is from Rfam by way of RNAcentral.
CCUUCGAUAGCUCAGUUGGUAGAGCGGUGGACUGUAGUGUGAGUAGAAGGUAGAGAGAGAGACAUCCAUAGGUCGCUGGUUCAAAUCCGGCUCGAAGGA